AGUGAACGCUGGCGGCGUGCUUAACACAUGCAAGUCGAGGGGAAACGACAUCGAAAGCUUGCUUUUGAUGGGCGUCGACCGGCGCACGGGUGAGUAACGCGUAUCCAACCUGCCCACCACUUGGGGAUAACCUUGCGAAAGUAAGACUAAUACCCAAUGAUAUCUCUAGAAGACAUCUGAAAGAGAUUAAAGAUUUAUCGGUGAUGGAUGGGGAUGCGUCUGAUUAGCUUGUUGGCGGGGUAACGGCCAACCAAGGCGACGAUCAGUAGGGGUUCUGAGAGGAAGGUCCCCCACAUUGGAACGGAGACACGGUCCAAACUCCUACGGGAGGCAGCAGUGAGGAAUAUUGGUCAAUGGGCGAGAGCCUGAACCAGCCAAGUAGCGUGCAGGAAGACGGCCCUAUGGGUUGUAAACUGCUUUUAUAAGGGAAUAAAGUGAGUCUCGUGAGACUUUUUGCAUGUACCUUAUGAAUAAGGACCGGCUAAUUCCGUGCCAGCCGCCGCAGUAA
This 508-nucleotide ribosomal RNA is filed under the name uncultured bacterium. RNAcentral describes it as "partial 16S ribosomal RNA". It matches the Rfam family "Bacterial small subunit ribosomal RNA", at positions 29 to 523 of the family's 1533-position model. The record is from RNAcentral.